RNAcentral lists this ribosomal RNA (197 nucleotides) under uncultured bacterium. RNAcentral's name for it is "partial 16S ribosomal RNA". It matches the Rfam family "Bacterial small subunit ribosomal RNA", at positions 1304 to 1500 of the family's 1533-position model. The record is from RNAcentral.
GCUGCAACUCGCCUACACGAGGUUGGAAUUGCUAGUAAUCGUGGAUCAGCAUGCCACGGUGAAUACGUUCCCGGGUCUUGUACACACCGCCCGUCACACCAUGGGAGCUAGUAACACCCGAAGUCAGUAGUCUAACCGCAAGGAGGACGCUGCCGAAGGUGGGAUUAGCGACUGGGGUGAAGUCGUAACAAGGUAUC